This 465-nucleotide ribosomal RNA is filed under the name Vreelandella stevensii. Its description in RNAcentral is "partial 16S ribosomal RNA". It matches the Rfam family "Bacterial small subunit ribosomal RNA", at positions 338 to 795 of the family's 1533-position model. Lineage: Bacteria; Pseudomonadati; Pseudomonadota; Gammaproteobacteria; Oceanospirillales; Halomonadaceae. The record is from RNAcentral.
CCUACGGGCGGCAGCAGUGGGGAAUAUUGGACAAUGGGGGGAACCCUGAUCCAGCCAUGCCGCGUGUGUGAAGAAGGCCCUCGGGUUGUAAAGCACUUUCAGUGAGGAAGAACGCCUGGUGGUUAAUACCCAUCAGGAAAGACAUCACUCACAGAAGAAGCACCGGCUAACUCCGUGCCAGCAGCCGCGGUAAUACGGAGGGUGCGAGCGUUAAUCGGAAUUACUGGGCGUAAAGCGCGCGUAGGUGGCUUGAUAAGCCGGUUGUGAAAGCCCCGGGCUCAACCUGGGAACGGCAUCCGGAACUGUCAAGCUAGAGUGCAGGAGAGGAAGGUAGAAUUCCCGGUGUAGCGGUGAAAUGCGCAGAGAUCGGGAGGAAUACCAGUGGCGAAGGCGGCCUUCUGGACUGACACUGACACUGAGGUGCGAAAGCGUGGGUAGCAAACAGGAUUAGAUACCCUAGUAGUC